GGGUCCGAGGCCCAACCGGACGGGCAGUCGGCUCUUAACCGACAGGCUGCGAGUUCGACUCUCGCCGGACCCUCCA
Molecule: transfer RNA, 76 nt
Filed under: Candidatus Palauibacterales bacterium
Lineage: Bacteria; Pseudomonadati; Gemmatimonadota; Gemmatimonadia; Candidatus Palauibacterales
Description: tRNA-Lys
Rfam family: tRNA
About the family: Transfer RNA (tRNA) molecules are approximately 80 nucleotides in length.
Source: RNAcentral